Molecule: long non-coding RNA, 285 nt
Filed under: Setaria viridis
Lineage: Eukaryota; Viridiplantae; Streptophyta; Magnoliopsida; Poales; Poaceae
Description: long non-coding RNA (SVIR_LNC008858)
Source: RNAcentral
GAUUUUGAAUGCUUGGAAUUUUUAAGCCGACUAGCAUCAUUGACAUCGUUUUGUCUUUGGGACUUAAUCGGAAGCUUUGUAUCGGACUUUAGCUUUGCCUUUUGAUGCUUGCUACGGUAUUUGGAUUCAACGGUUUUCCAAAUACCAAUCUUGGGUUUUUUAGGUUUAACCAGCUUUGGUAUUGAUUUAUUUUGCAAAACCCUCAGAAGAAUUUGUUCGACCAGUGUGCAAAUUGGUUAGACCGGUCUUGGAAGAACUAGCACCUUUACAUUUGUUUUGUCCCCC